RNAcentral lists this ribosomal RNA (598 nucleotides) under Cryomyces antarcticus. RNAcentral describes it as "eukaryotic LSU rRNA". The stretch from base 228 to 381 matches the Rfam family "5.8S ribosomal RNA". Lineage: Eukaryota; Fungi; Ascomycota; Dothideomycetes. The record is from RNAcentral.
UGGAAGUAAAAGUCGUAACAAGGUUUCCGUAGGUGAACCUGCGGAAGGAUCAUUACCGAGACCGGGUCCAAACGGCCCGACCUCCAACCCUCUGUGUACAUACCACGUUGCCUUGGCGGGCCCGCGGGUCCAGUGCCCGCGGCCGGCCCGCGCCGGUCAGCGCCCGCCAGAGGACCUCAAAACUCCGUUCAUCAGUGUCGUCCGAGAUAUGAACUUAAAUGAACUAAAACUUUCAACAACGGAUCUCUUGGUUCUGGCAUCGAUGAAGAACGCAGCGAAAUGCGAUAAGUAAUGUGAAUUGCAGAAUUCAGUGAAUCAUCGAAUCUUUGAACGCACAUUGCGCCCCUUGGCAUUCCGGGGGGCAUGCCUGUUCGAGCGUCAUUACACCACUCAAGCACCGCUUGGUAUUGGGCCCUCGUCCUCACCCGACGUGCCCCAAAGUCGUCGGCGGCGUCACCUGGCUUCGAGCGCAGUGAUCUUUCCAUCGCUCUGGAAGCCCCGGUGGCCGUUUGCCGAACAACCCCAAACGCACCAAGGUUGACCUCGGAUCAGGUAGGGAUACCCGCUGAACUUAAGCAUAUCAAUAGCGAGAAAGACG